This 386-nucleotide ribosomal RNA is filed under the name uncultured bacterium. Its description in RNAcentral is "bacterial SSU rRNA". It matches the Rfam family "Bacterial small subunit ribosomal RNA", at positions 28 to 402 of the family's 1533-position model. The record is from RNAcentral.
GAUGAACGCUGGCGGCGUGCUUAACACAUGCAAGUCGAACGAAGCACUUAAGAUUGAUUCUUCGGAUGACGUCUUUUGUGACUUAGUGGCGGACGGGUGAGUAACGCGUGGGUAACCUGCCUCACACAGGGGGAUAACAGUUAGAAAUGACUGCUAAUACCGCAUAACCCGAUAGGAUCGCAUGAUCCAGACGGAAAAGAUUUAUCGGUGUGAGAUGGACCCGCGUCUGAUUAGCUGGUGUGAGUAACGCCACAAGGCAACGAUCAGUAGCCGGCCUGAGAGGGUGAACGGCCACAUUGGGACUGAGACACGGGCCCAAACUCCUACGGGAGCAGCAGUGGGGAAUAUUGCACAAUGGGGGAAACCCUGAUGCAGCGACGCCGCGU